AAGAAAUAGUGUCUUGCCUGAAAGCACCAAAAAUGAAUCCAUAAAAAUUUUUAAAAGAUUUAGGAAGAGAAAUGACUUGGGUCUGGAAAUUAUGUUUCUUCAGUGAACUAUACCAUUCCCUGGACUUAACAAGGGAGAAUAUGAUUUCCAUUAAUAUCAGUGGUUCUUAAACAGGUGGAAUGUUGUGAAUCCCUUUUAAAAUAUGAAGCACCAUUAUAGAUUAUGUCUUCCACUAAAUGCACAAAACAUAAAACUUAGUACAUAAUUUUAACUAUUUUAAAGAAUGCCUUCAUGACUCUUCUCUAUAAAUCCCACAUUCUAACUAACUCCAGACCCUGAAGUAUUAUGCAAAUAUAAAUACCAGCCUUUAGUUUUGGUUGCUUUUUUACUAAAAUAUGGUGCAGGUGAAAAUUCACUGGCUAAGAGUCAGAAGACUUGGGCUUCUGCCUCAGGUCUGCCAGAUACGCAGUGAAUCACACUGAUCCAGACUCAGUGGCAUACAGCAAUAAGAGCAUGUGUAUCUUGCAUAUCUGCAGGUCCAUUGGGGAAUGAUCAGUCUAGGCUAGAGUUAUCUGGGGAAUAUCUCUUCAUAUCUCUCUUCCUGUUUCUGAAACCAGUGAGUUAGCCUGGGCAUAUGUUUCUUCCAACAAAGACAAAAAUUUAAGCCAGCAGGCAAAAACAUAUGAAACCUCUUAACAGUCAUGCAUGGGACUUGCACGAUGGCAUUUCUGCCAAAUUCUGUGACACAAAGUAAGUCACACAGCCAAACCCAAAGUGAAAAAGUAAGGAAAUAUGCCACAUUAGUUUACUAUGCUGUAUAACAUAUGACCAAAAACAGCAACUUAAACAAAAACACACUUAUGAUCUCGUAGCUUUUGCAGGUCAAGUUUUUGAACAAGGUUUUGUUGCAUUCUCUACAAGACUGCAAUUCAAGUGUCAAGCAAGUCUCUGUUUUCAUCUGGAGACUCAACUGGUGAUGCACCCACUUCCAAACUUUCUCAGGUUAUUGACCAAAUUGAUUUCCUUGUGGCUGUAAAUCGAAGGACUUCAGUUUCUUGCUUGGUUUCUAGAUGCUGCUGGCAGUCCUUGCACAUGGGCUUCUCCAACAUGGCCAUGCUUCAUGGCAGCUUUGCUUCUUCACUGCCAGCAAUGGAGAGUGAGCCUGCAUAAAUAGCCGCUUCCUCUGGGACUGGAUGGCUAUCUGCAGAGGCGAGAGGCAGGGGCUUUCUUGACCUCUUUCAGAGAAGCCUGAGUUUAGUUCAGCCAGUGUUCACUGAGCACUUGUUAUGCACCAGACCCUCUGAUAGGCAAUGCUGGAGACAGAGAUGAAUAGGACACAGCUUCUGCCCUCAAGGAGGCCACAGGUUUAUAAACAUCCCUAGAGGCUUCAGAAGGAGCUGGCACUGCCAACAACUUGAUUUCAGACUUCCAGCCACCAGAACUCUGAAAGAAUAAACUUCCAUUAUUUUCAGCAGGCAGCCCUAGGAAACAAGUAUAUUUGAUGACCAGAUAUUUUUCCUUCAUUCCUGGUUGCCCAUCGUCAGUCUCCUUUCCUGGUUCCUACUAAUUUCCCUUACUAUUAAAUAUUGGAGUAUUCCAGGUAGAAGACUUUGAACCGUUUUUAACUCUACUGUAGCAUACUUGCUACAUACUUAUUAGAUCCAGGACCUUGGCUUCAACAGCAUUUAUGCGGUGAUGCAUUCUCAUUGUAAAUUUAAGGCAUACUUAGUAUG
RNAcentral lists this long non-coding RNA (1733 nucleotides) under Homo sapiens (human). RNAcentral's name for it is "HSALNT0154771". The record is from RNAcentral. Lineage: Eukaryota; Metazoa; Chordata; Mammalia; Primates; Hominidae.